GACGAACGCUGGCGGCGCGCCUAACACAUGCCAGUCGAACGAGCGAGAGGAGGUUUACUUUCUCAAGCGAGUGGCGAACGGGUGAGUAACGCGUGAGGAACCUGCCUCAAAGAGGGGGACAACAGUUGGAAACGACUGCUAAUACCGCAUAAGCCCACGACCCGGCAUCGGGUAGAGGGAAAAGGAGCAAUCCGCUUUGAGAUGGCCUCGCGUCCGAUUAGCUAGUUGGUGAGGUAAUGGCCCACCAAGGCGACGAUCGGUAGCCGGACUGGGAGGUUGAACGGCCACAUUGGGACUGGGACACGGCCCAGACUCCUACGGGAGGCAGCAGUGGGGAAUAUUGCACAAUGGGGGAAACCCUGAUGCAGCGACGCCGCGUGGAGGAAGAAGGUCUUCGGAUUGUAAACUCCUGUUAUUGAGGAAGAUAAUGACGGUACUCAAAAAGGAAGUGACGGCUAACUACGUG
This 466-nucleotide ribosomal RNA is filed under the name uncultured bacterium. Its description in RNAcentral is "partial 16S ribosomal RNA". It matches the Rfam family "Bacterial small subunit ribosomal RNA", at positions 28 to 507 of the family's 1533-position model. The record is from RNAcentral.